CAGUCGCCGCGGGAAUACGUAGGGUGCGAGCGUUAAUCGGAAUUACUGGGCGUAAAGCGUGCGCAGGCGGUUUUGUAAGACAGGCGUGAAAUCCCCGGGCUCAACCUGGGAAUGGCGCUUGUGACUGCAAAGCUAGAGUGCGGCAGAGGGGGAUGGAAUUCCGCGUGUAGCAGUGAAAUGCGUAGAGAUGUGGAGGAACACCGAUGGCGAAGGCAGCCCCCUGGGCCAAUACUGACGCUCAUGCACGAAAGCGUGGGGAGCAAACAGGAUUAGAUACCCGUGUAGUCCCUGUCUCUUAUAC
This 301-nucleotide ribosomal RNA is filed under the name uncultured bacterium. RNAcentral describes it as "partial 16S ribosomal RNA". It matches the Rfam family "Bacterial small subunit ribosomal RNA", at positions 509 to 807 of the family's 1533-position model. The record is from RNAcentral.